This is a long non-coding RNA of Micropterus dolomieu (smallmouth bass), 809 nucleotides long. RefSeq lists it as uncharacterized. Lineage: Eukaryota; Metazoa; Chordata; Actinopteri; Centrarchiformes; Centrarchidae. The record is from RefSeq and is a predicted model, not a curated record. The transcript has 4 exons.
ACAGGCUCCAUUUAGUAGCUGUUAUGGUGCUUUCAGUCAAGUCACAUGAUGCUCAUCAGCAAAUGGAGUUUGCCCAUUUGCCACGGAGCUGACUGUUUUCUAAACUGCUGUUUCCGAGGAAAAGAAAUUCAUUUGGAACCUCAGCUUUUAAGCCACCAUUUACAAGAAGUGCUCAGGAGAGUUUAGCAUCUACAAUUCCAUGACAACUGGAAAUCUGCUGAUGAAGAUCAUGUGACAUGACCUAAAGCUCCAGAACAGCUACUGAAUAGACUUAGUGUUCCAGACCUCAAUGAACCCGUCCACCGAUCCAGUGAUUAAGUACUUGCCAUCAGGAGAGAAGCGGGCACACUCCACAUGCGACCGCCGUCCAAACUGCAGGCAACCCCAGGGAGGUAUUAAGUUUUCCCACCAUGCUGCAGUCUAAAGUUGUGUGGGCUGACCAUUCUCACUCAAAACCCUGGGCAGAGGAAAAGCAAGGACAAACAAUUCAGCUAUCUCCAUCUGGAUGCAAGUCAGAUAGAGACUAAGACAAGUGCCUUCAGACGUUUCAAUGGCCAUUUCGGGGGAGAGAUGACCCGGCGACUGCUCUAGUCUCAUAGACUGCGUGGAACAGGGAUGGGGAACAGUCAGCAGAAAACAUAAAGUAGUUUUUGCCUUUUAACUUCUUCAUUGUCACGAUCUCAACAAAAUCAAGUGUUGGAAUACUAAAAAAUGCUAACUUGAAGAUUCAAAGUAGUUGAUUUUUUAAAUAAAGUGUUGCUUAUCCCGUAAUGUAAUGCAAGGGGGAAAAUAAGCUUGAAAACUGCACA